This 372-nucleotide ribosomal RNA is filed under the name Triticum aestivum (bread wheat). Its description in RNAcentral is "partial small subunit ribosomal RNA". Lineage: Eukaryota; Viridiplantae; Streptophyta; Magnoliopsida; Poales; Poaceae. The record is from RNAcentral.
AUGCAUGUGGAAACUAAGUUGAACAGUUCAUCACGUACUACCGACCGAGAGGGGGCAAACACAUGCAUGAUGAUCACGUACGAGAGCCGUUUUUGUACAGGAUUGUACCAUUUUUAUCCAGUUCAUGGUCACUGGUUACUGUUAGAAACUUCACUUUUGCUUUUCCUGUUAUUCUUAUUUCGAUCUUCAAUUCAUUGGUGUGUGUGGUGCAUGUCAGUGUGGGGAAUCAUGGCAAAGGUGGCUUCAUAUGAUUGGUGGAGGCGGCUGCUGUCCCUCUCACUUGCAUCAUAUGCUUUGUCUCCAGUGAAGAAAAAUAGGGUCACUUGCAUCAUAUGUCUGUUUGUUCUUGUUCAUUCGAUUUCUUUAGUUUAA